UACAGAGGGUGCGAGCGUUAAUCGGAAUUACUGGGCGUAAAGGGUGCGUAGGUGGUUAAUUAAGUUAGAUGUGAAAUCCCUGGGCUUAACCUAGGAAUUGCAUUUAAGACUGAUUGGCUAGAGUUUGAGAGAGGGAAGUGGAAUUUCCGGUGUAGCGGUGAAAUGCGUAGAUAUCGGAAGGAACACCAGUGGCGAAGGCGGCUUCCUGGCUCGAUACUGACACUGAGGCACGAAAGCGUGGGGAGCAAAC
RNAcentral lists this ribosomal RNA (250 nucleotides) under uncultured bacterium. Its description in RNAcentral is "partial 16S ribosomal RNA". It matches the Rfam family "Bacterial small subunit ribosomal RNA", at positions 524 to 773 of the family's 1533-position model. The record is from RNAcentral.